Molecule: long non-coding RNA, 264 nt
Filed under: Elaeis guineensis (African oil palm)
Lineage: Eukaryota; Viridiplantae; Streptophyta; Magnoliopsida; Arecales; Arecaceae
Description: long non-coding RNA (EGUI_LNC032441)
Source: RNAcentral
UCUCUCCUUCGUGGCUACCCUUAGAAAGUUAGCAUGGGUGUGGUAUUCUGGACUCCGACCAAGAUCUAUUCAUUUAUUCAAGCAGCUCCACAGGCUGUUCGUUACUUGUACUUUAGCAGUUGUCAAUCCCAAUCGAGAAACUUAAAUAGCCUCCUUUCUCUCCAACAAGAAGAGGAUGAGUCAUUGUGUGACUAUAUCAUGCAUUUUAACGCUACCACACUCGAGGUGUAGAACCAUGAUCAGUCAGUGGCAACGUUAGUGCUC